This 583-nucleotide long non-coding RNA is filed under the name Bos indicus x Bos taurus (hybrid cattle). Its description in RNAcentral is "lncRNA (ENSBIXG00000028482.1)". The record is from RNAcentral. Lineage: Eukaryota; Metazoa; Chordata; Mammalia; Artiodactyla; Bovidae.
AUGCGUCAAAAGAUGGUCACAAGAGCCUUUCCUAAUGAGCCCUUUCGGCUUCCCUGGUGGCUUAGCUGGAAAAGAAUCUGCCUGCAAUGCGAGAGACCAUGGUUCGAUUCCUGGGUGGGAAAGAUCCUCUGGAGAAGGGAUAGGCUACCCACUCCAGUAUUCUUGGGCUUUCCUUGUGGCUCAGCUGGUAAAGAAUCUGCCUGCAAUGCAGGAGACCUGGAUUUGACCCCUGGGUUGGAAAGAUCCCCUGGAGAAGGGAAAGGCUACUCACUCCAGUAUUCAGGCCUGGAGAAUUCCAUGGACUGUAUAGUCCGUGGGGUUGAAAAGAGUCGGACACGACUGAGCGACUUUCACUUUCACUUUACAACCAUCAUCCUGAUUUGUUCCUACAACAAGCGGUGUGAAGAGUCCUUGGGCUGCUCCUUGGAAAAGAGACAAUGGAGGGAGAAGGUACUGACGAGGAGUCUCAUGGGAACAGAUCCAGGAUUCUACCCACAGGCGUGGCUCAUCCAGUUCUGCCAGAAGGAAACCAGCUUGCCCCGGUAACCUGCAUCUUCAUGAGAAUGUCCAGAACUCAUCUGGG